UAGGGAAUCUUCCGCAAUGGGCGAAAGCCUGACGGAGCAACGCCGCGUGAGUGAUGAAGGUCUUCGGAUCGUAAAACUCUGUUAUUAGGGAAGAACAAAUGUGUAAGUAACUAUGCACGUCUUGACGGUACCUAAUCAGAAAGCCACGGCUAACUACGUGCCAGCAGCCGCGGUAAUACGUAGGUGGCAAGCGUUAUCCGGAAUUAUUGGGCGUAAGCGCGCGUUGGCGGUUUUUUAAGUCUGAUGUGAAAGCCCACGGCUCAACCGUGGAGGGUCAUUGGAAACUGGAAAACUUGAGUGCAGAAGAGGAAAGUGGAAUUCCAUGUGUAGCAGUGAAAUGCGCAGAGAUAUGGAGGAACACCAGUGGCGAAGGCGACUUUCUGGUCUGUAACUGACGCUGAUGUGCGAAAGCGUGGGGAUCAAACAGG
Molecule: ribosomal RNA, 428 nt
Filed under: Actinomycetes bacterium
Lineage: Bacteria; Bacillati; Actinomycetota; Actinomycetes
Description: Actinobacteria bacterium partial 16S ribosomal RNA
Rfam family: Bacterial small subunit ribosomal RNA
Source: RNAcentral